GAUGAACGCUGGCGGCGUGCCUAACACAUGCAAGUCGAACGGAGAUUUAACGCUGAUGAAGCUUCGGCAGAUUCUUGUUAAAUCUUAGUGGCGGACGGGUGAGUAACGCGUGGGCAACCUGCCUCAUACUGGGGGAUAACAGCUGGAAACGACUGUUAAUACCGCAUAAGCGCACGGUAUCGCAUGAUACAGUGUGAAAAACUCCGGUGGUAUGAGAUGGGCCCGCGUCAGAUUAGCCAGUUGGCAGGGUAACGGCCUACCAAAGCGACGAUCUGUAGCCGGCCUGAGAGGGCGGACGGCCACAUUGGGACUGAGACACGGCCCAAACUCCUACGGGAGGCAGCAGUGGGGGAUAUUGCACAAUGGAGGAAACUCUGAUGCAGCGACGCCGCGUGAGUGAAGAAGUAUUUCGGUAUGUAAAGCUCUAUCAGCAGGGAAGAAAGACUCGUAAGAGAGAUGACGGUAC
RNAcentral lists this ribosomal RNA (466 nucleotides) under rumen bacterium NK4A521. Its description in RNAcentral is "bacterial SSU rRNA". It matches the Rfam family "Bacterial small subunit ribosomal RNA", at positions 28 to 478 of the family's 1533-position model. The record is from RNAcentral. RNAcentral also lists the same sequence under 4 other names.